GCAACCAGCGGAGGGAUCAUUACUGAGUUUACGCUCUACAACCCUUUGUGAACAUACCUAUAACUGUUGCUUCGGCGGGUAGGGUCUCCGUGACCCUCCCGGCCUCCCGCCCCCGGGCGGGUCGGCGCCCGCCGGAGGAUAACCAAACUCUGAUUUAACGACGUUUCUUCUGAGUGGUACAAGCAAAUAAUCAAAACUUUUAACAACGGAUCUCUUGGUUCUGGCAUCGAUGAAGAACGCAGCGAAAUGCGAUAAGUAAUGUGAAUUGCAGAAUUCAGUGAAUCAUCGAAUCUUUGAACGCACAUUGCGCCCGCCAGCAUUCUGGCGGGCAUGCCUGUUCGAGCGUCAUUUCAACCCUCAAGCUCUGCUUGGUGUUGGGGCCCUACAGCUGAUGUAGGCCCUCAAAGGUAGUGGCGGACCCUCCCGGAGCCUCCUUUGCGUAGUAACUUUACGUCUCGCACUGGGAUCCGGAGGGACUCUUGCCGUAAAACCCCCAAUUUUCCAAAGGUUGACCUCGGAUCAGGUAGGAAUACCCGCUGAACUUAAGCAUAUCAAUA
This 557-nucleotide ribosomal RNA is filed under the name Colletotrichum sp. ITCC 4202. RNAcentral's name for it is "eukaryotic LSU rRNA". The stretch from base 195 to 348 matches the Rfam family "5.8S ribosomal RNA". The record is from RNAcentral. Lineage: Eukaryota; Fungi; Ascomycota; Sordariomycetes; Glomerellales; Glomerellaceae.